RNAcentral lists this ribosomal RNA (449 nucleotides) under grassland soil clone sl3_624. RNAcentral describes it as "bacterial SSU rRNA". It matches the Rfam family "Bacterial small subunit ribosomal RNA", at positions 51 to 494 of the family's 1533-position model. The record is from RNAcentral.
ACACAUGCAAGUCGAACGGCAGCACCGGGAGCAAUCCUGGUGGCGAGUGGCGAACGGGUGAGUAAUACAUCGGAACGUGCCCAAUCGUGGGGGAUAACUGCUCGAAAGAGCAGCUAAUACCGCAUAUUAUCUACGGAUGAAAGCAGGGGAUCGCAAGACCUUGCGCGAUUGGAGCGGCUGAUGGCAGAUUAGGUAGUUGGUGGGAUAAAAGCCUACCAAGCCUGCGAUCUGUAGCUGGUCUGAGAGGACGACCAGCCACACUGGGACUGAGACACGGCCCAGACUCCUACGGGAGGCAGCAGUGGGGAAUUUUGGACAAUGGGCGAAAGCCUGAUCCAGCAAUGCCGCGUGCAGGAUGAAGGCCUUCGGGUUGUAAACUGCUUUUGUACGGAACGAAAAGGCGCUCUCUAAUACAGGGUGUUGAUGACGGUACCGUAAGAAUAAGCACC